AGUGGGGAAUUUUGGACAAUGGGCGCAAGCCUGAUCCAGCCAUGCCGCGUGAGUGAAGAAGGCCUUCGGGUUGUAAAGCUCUUUCAGUUGGGAAGAAACGAUUGCAACUAAUAAUUGUAAUUAAUGACGGUACCGACAGAAGAAGCACCGGCUAACUACGUGCCAGCAGCCGCGGUAAUACGUAGGGUGCGAGCGUUAAUCGGAAUUACUGGGCGUAAAGGGUGCGCAGGCGGUUUUGUAAGUCAGAUGUGAAAUCCCCGGGCUUAACCUGGGAAUGGCGUUUGAAACUGCAAGGCUAGAGUGUAGCAGAGGGGAGUGGAAUUCCGCGUGUAGCAGUGAAAUGCGUAGAUAUGCGGAGGAACACCGAUGGCGAAGGCAGCUCCCUGGGCUAACACUGACGCUCAUGCACGAAAGCGUGGGGAGCAAACAGGAUUAGAUACCCUGGUAGUCCACGCCCUAAACGAUGUCAACUAGUUGUCGGGCCUAAUUGAGGGUUUGGUAACGUAGCUAACGCG
RNAcentral lists this ribosomal RNA (515 nucleotides) under uncultured Nitrosomonas sp. RNAcentral's name for it is "bacterial SSU rRNA". It matches the Rfam family "Bacterial small subunit ribosomal RNA", at positions 353 to 859 of the family's 1533-position model. The record is from RNAcentral. Lineage: Bacteria; Pseudomonadati; Pseudomonadota; Betaproteobacteria; Nitrosomonadales; Nitrosomonadaceae.